Molecule: long non-coding RNA, 936 nt
Organism: Juglans microcarpa x Juglans regia
Lineage: Eukaryota; Viridiplantae; Streptophyta; Magnoliopsida; Fagales; Juglandaceae
Exons: 2
Source: RefSeq, a predicted model, not a curated record
CUUUCGUGGGUCUCCCGUCCUCUUUCGUUUUUCUCCAUGUCUCCCGUCCCUCCCAAAUCAAAUCUCCUCUAUAGAAGAAUAUCUCAUCCCAUUCAAAUCUCUCCCAGAAAUAUCAUCCUCUUGUAGAUCUCUUCUACUCCUUCAAUGAAAUGUCAUCCUCUCAUAUUUCCUCUAUACAUCCCGUUCAUCCAUCCCUCCCUCACUGAAGGCCAUGACUCCACCCUCCCUCCCAAACCAGAAAUGACUUGACUUCUUAAGGCAUGGAGCGUCACCAUUGAGUUGAAUCGUUGCCACUGUCACCUCCAUCCCUCGAAUUCGUGACUGUAACCUCACCAUUGAGCCACUGUCACUCCAUCCCAAAGCCUGAAACCCUAAGACCUUUGUCGCCUCACGUUUGUUGGACUCCCCGAAGCCUGAGGCCAACCCCCUCACCACUGAGCCUACCGUCGCCACUGGUUGUUACAUUAGUGCAGAUCUCCAUUUACGCCGUGGUCCGAUUCCCUCACAUAAAAACCGAGGCUGGGUAUUCUUGCAGAUUUUUUUGUUGGUAUAAUCUGGAAAUACCAUCGUAUGGUGAAAAGAGAAUCAAUCAACUAAAAACUGAACUUCAAAAGAUACAACUAAUAAUGAAUAUUAAAAUAACUCGACAUCGAUUAUAAAUAAAAACUGAGAGGCGCAAGAGAAAACUUGAGAGUGUCAGUUUAGUUAUAAUAAUUUCAAUGUUAUGGGUACACAAACUGUGGGUACUUUGUUUACGAUUUUAUUUUAGGAAAUUUUGUGAAAACAAUGUGACCAAGAUGUAAUUUGCUUAUGAUUUUGUAUGAAGUUUUUUUUUUUUUUCCUUAAUUUUCAGCCUUUUAAUUUUACUCGCAUGUCACUCUUUAUAAAGCUGGUUGGUCUUCUAGAUGAUAUAAUGCAGAUCAGACCUUUCCUGUA